Molecule: unclassified non-coding RNA, 347 nt
Filed under: soil metagenome
Description: partial contains 5.8S ribosomal RNA, internal transcribed spacer 2, and large subunit ribosomal RNA
Rfam family: 5.8S ribosomal RNA (bases 1-120)
Source: RNAcentral
GAUGAAGAACGUAGUGAAAUGCGAUAAUUAAUGUGAAUUGCAGAAUUCAGUGAAUCAUCGAGUCUUUGAACGCACAUUGCGCCCCCUGGUAUUCCGGGGGGCAUGCCUGUCCGAGCGUCAUUGCUGCCCUCAAGCACGGCUUGUGUGUUGGGCUUCCGUCCCUGGCAACGGGGACGGGCCCAAAAGGCAGUGGCGGCACCAUGUCUGGUCCUCGAGCGUAUGGGGCUUUGUCACCCGCUCCCGUAGGUCCAGCUGGCAGCUAGCCUCGCAACCAAUCGUUUUAACCAGGUUGACCUCGGAUCAGGUAGGGAUACCCGCUGAACUUAAGCAUAUCAAUAAGCGGAGGA